RNAcentral lists this ribosomal RNA (557 nucleotides) under uncultured bacterium. Its description in RNAcentral is "bacterial SSU rRNA". It matches the Rfam family "Bacterial small subunit ribosomal RNA", at positions 8 to 557 of the family's 1533-position model. The record is from RNAcentral.
AGAGUUUGAUCCUGGCUCAGAGCGAACGUUAGCGGCGGGCUUAACACAUGCAAGUCGAGCGAGAAAGGGACUUCGGUCCCGAGUACAGCGGCGGACGGGUGAGAAAUACAUAGGUAACCUGCCCUUCAGUGGAGGACAACGGUCCGAAAGGACCGCUAAUACUGCAUACGUUCCUCGGGACUCCGGUCCUGAGGAGGAAAGCCUCGCCAGGGGCGCUGAAGGAGGGGCCUGUGUCGCAUCAGCUAGUUGGUGGGGUAACGGCUCACCAAGGCGAAGACGCGUAGCUGGUCUGAGAGGAUGAUCAGCCACACUGGGACUGAGACACGGCCCAGACUCCUACGGGAGGCAGCAGUGGGGAAUAUUGGACAAUGGGGGCAACCCUGAUCCAGCCACGCCGCGUGAGUGAUGAAGGCCUUCGGGUCGUAAAGCUCUGUGGGGAGGGACGAACGUCCGGGUGAAGAAUCCGGGGUGACGGUACCUCCUUAGCAAGCACCGGCUAACUUCGUGCCAGCAGCCGCGGUAAUACGAAGGGUGCAAACGUUGCUCGGAAUCAUUGG